This is a long non-coding RNA of Helianthus annuus (common sunflower), 797 nucleotides long. RefSeq lists it as uncharacterized. The transcript has 2 exons. The record is from RefSeq and is a predicted model, not a curated record. Lineage: Eukaryota; Viridiplantae; Streptophyta; Magnoliopsida; Asterales; Asteraceae.
UUCUCCUUAUUUUUUGUUUCAUGUUUUUGGGCUAUGUUUGGUUUUCUGCUCGAGCCCAAGAUAUGAUCAAGUCUUUUGGAGCCCAUGUCAAGGUGAAGCCCAUAUCUAGUCUCUUUCUAAUGAAGUCGAAGAAUUGGUCCAACCUGAUCUUCUCCUUGGCGCUGCCUCUCUAGGGUUCUCUCCUCUCAGUCUUUGACAGCUGCGUACAGUGAUUGCUAGUUGUCCCGCGCCUUCCUUUUUGGUGCUCGGUUUCUAUAUUUGUUUCCUGCUCUACAAUACUAUAUAAGAAGGUUGUUGGUGGUGUUGAAGUGUAUCUCAAAUUCAGUCUACAAACACAUAUCAAGCCAAAGGGCACUUGAUCAGAUUUUUGUCCCGGAGGAGUUUCCCGAGGAGAUACCGGUUUAUAUUGAGCUGAAGUCGGGAGUACCAGCGCCUGCUCAGCCGCAGCAUCAACAGCCGCAACAACAUCAACUCGAUGAUGAUCUCCCACAACCACCGCCGUGGCCGCCCAAGUAGCUGCCACAAUACCCACAGCACGUCUUCGACGACUUGCCUCCUGCUGCAUGGGUGGUCGCUUGAGACUUUGAUCGCCGCUUCUGACGUGCUGAGCGCAAUUAGAUAUGGAGGGUUCAGACGCUGAUGGACUUAGGGGGGGGGGGGAUUGGGGGUGCUUCCACCGUCACCGUCACCACCACUAGAGGAGGACCACUAGCCUAUGUUAGUUUAGUUUUUAUUUUGUAUUAGAUAUUCAGUUAUACUUUUGUUUUGUAUGUACAAAGUGAUUAUUCGUUUUUUUA